CGCCAGACUCCUACGGGAGGCAGCAGUGGGGAAUAUUGCACAAUGGGGGAAACCCUGAUGCAGCGACGCCGCGUGAGCGAUGAAGUAUUUCGGUAUGUAAAGCUCUAUCAGCAGGGAAGAAAAUGACGGUACCUGACUAAGAAGCCCCGGCUAACUACGUGCCAGCAGCCGCGGUAAUACGUAGGGGGCAAGCGUUAUCCGGAUUUACUGGGUGUAAAGGGAGCGUAGACGGCUGUGCAAGCCAGAUGUGAAAGCCCGGGGCUCAACCCCGGGACUGCAUUUGGAACUGUGUGGCUGGAGUGUCGGAGAGGCAGGCGGAAUUCCUAGUGUAGCGGUGAAAUGCGUAGAUAUUAGGAGGAACACCAGUGGCGAAGGCGGCCUGCUGGACGAUGACUGACGUUGAGGCUCGAAAGCGUGGGGAGCAAACAGGAUUAGAUACCCGUGUA
Molecule: ribosomal RNA, 446 nt
Filed under: uncultured bacterium
Lineage: Bacteria
Description: bacterial SSU rRNA
Rfam family: Bacterial small subunit ribosomal RNA
Source: RNAcentral